UACGUAGGGGGCGAGCGUUGUCCGGAAUUACUGGGCGUAAAGAGAGCGUAGGCGGCACUACAAGUCUCAUGUGAAAUACCCGGGCUUAACUUGGGGGUUGCAUGGGAAACUGUAGAGCUUGAGUACAGGAGAGGCAAGCGGAAUUCCUAGUGUAGCGGUGAAAUGCAUAGAUAUUAGGAGGAACACCAGUGGCGAAGGCGGCUUGCUGGACUGAAACUGACGCUGAGGCUCGAAAGCGUGGGGAGCAAUCAGG
RNAcentral lists this ribosomal RNA (253 nucleotides) under uncultured bacterium. RNAcentral's name for it is "partial 16S ribosomal RNA". It matches the Rfam family "Bacterial small subunit ribosomal RNA", at positions 524 to 776 of the family's 1533-position model. The record is from RNAcentral.